AGCAGCCGCGGUAAUUCCAGCUCCAAUAGCGUAUAUUAAAGUUGUUGCAGUUAAAAAGCUCGUAGUUGAAUUUCGGGAUCAAUUUAUCGGUCGUGCCAACGGUAUGAACUGGUACAAUUGGUUUCUCCCUUCUGAUGAAGCACGAUGUCAUUAACUUGGUGUCGUGGGGAAUCAGGACUGUUACUUUGAAAAAAUUAGAGUGUUUAAAGCAGGCCUUGGCUUGAAUACAUUAGCAUGGAAUAAUGAAAUAGGACGUUUGAUCCUAUUUCGUUGGUUUCUAGGAUCGACGUAAUGAUUAAUAGGGAUAGUUGGGGGCAUUAGUAUUCAAUUGUCAGAGGUGAAAUUCUUGGAUUUAUUGAAGACUAACUACUGCGAAAGCAUUUGCCAAGGAUGUUUUCAUUAAUCAAGAACGAAAGUUAGGGGAUCGAAGACGAUCAGAUGCCGUCGUAGUCUUAACCAUAAACUAUGCCGACUAGGGAUCGGAUGAUGUUAAUUUUUAAUGACUCAUUCGGCGCCUUAA
Molecule: ribosomal RNA, 520 nt
Filed under: uncultured Glomus
Lineage: Eukaryota; Fungi; Glomeromycota; Glomeromycetes; Glomerales; Glomeraceae
Description: SSU rRNA
Rfam family: Eukaryotic small subunit ribosomal RNA
Source: RNAcentral